GGGAAACUCCCAGGCCCCGCUGUAGAGGGACCGUCAGCGGCCGGGCCAGAAAGAAUGAGGUCCCCA
Non-coding RNA from Echinops telfairi (small Madagascar hedgehog), 66 nucleotides. NCBI's taxonomy places the organism in Eukaryota, Metazoa, Chordata, Mammalia, Afrosoricida, Tenrecidae. The record is from Rfam.